CCUACGGGAGGCUGCAGUGGGGAAUAUUGCACAAUGGGGGAAACCCUGAUGCAGCGACGCCGCGUGAGUGAAGAAGUAUUUCGGUACGUAAAGCUCUAUCAGCAGGGAAGAAAAUGACGGUACCUGACUAAGAAGCCCCGGCUAACUACGUGCCAGCAGCCGCGGUAAUACGUAGGGGGCAAGCGUUAUCCGGAUUUACUGGGUGUAAAGGGAGCGUAGACGGCAGCGCAAGUCUGGAGUGAAAUCCCAUGGCUUAACCAUGGAACUGCUUUGGAAACUGGGCAGCUAGAGUGCAGGAGAGGUAAGCAGAAUUCCUAGUGUAGCGGUGAAAUGCGUAGAGAUUAGGAGGAACACCAGUGGCGAAGGCGGCUUACUGGACUGUAACUGACGUUGAGGCUCGAAAGCGUGGGGAGCAAACAGGAUUAGAUACCCUAGUAGUC
Molecule: ribosomal RNA, 440 nt
Filed under: uncultured bacterium
Lineage: Bacteria
Description: partial 16S ribosomal RNA
Rfam family: Bacterial small subunit ribosomal RNA
Source: RNAcentral